AGCAGCCGCGGUAAUUCCAGCUCCAAUAGCGUAUAUUAAAGUUGUUGCAGUUAAAAAGCUCGUAGUUGAAUUUCGGGGUCAAUACGUCGGUCGUGCCUCGGUACGCACUAACGUUAUUGAUCCCUCCCUUCUGACGAACCGUGAUGUCAUUAAUUUGGUGUUGCGGGGAAUCAGGACUGUUACCUUGAAAAAAUUAGAGUGUUUAAAGCAGGCAAUCGCUCGAAUACAUUAGCAUGGAAUAAUGAAAUAGGACGUUCGAACCUAUUUUGUUGGUUUCUAGGAUCGACGUAAUGAUUAAUAGGGAUAGUUGGGGGCAUUAGUAUUUAAUUGUCAGAGGUGAAAUUCUUGGAUUUAUUGAAGACUAACUACUGCGAAAGCAUUUGCCAAGGAUGUUUUCAUUAAUCAAGAACGAAAGUUAGGGGAUCGAAGACGAUCAGAUACCGUCGUAGUCUUAACCAUAAACUAUGCCGACUAGGGAUCGGAUGAUGUUAAUUUUUUAAUGUACUCAUUCGGCGCCUUA
RNAcentral lists this ribosomal RNA (520 nucleotides) under uncultured Glomus. RNAcentral describes it as "SSU rRNA". It matches the Rfam family "Eukaryotic small subunit ribosomal RNA", at positions 569 to 1090 of the family's 1831-position model. Lineage: Eukaryota; Fungi; Glomeromycota; Glomeromycetes; Glomerales; Glomeraceae. The record is from RNAcentral.